GAGGGUAUAGCUCAGUGGUAGAGCACAUGACUAGCGUGCAUGAAGUCCUGGGUUCAAUCCCCAAUACCUCCA
Molecule: transfer RNA, 72 nt
Filed under: Camelus bactrianus (Bactrian camel)
Lineage: Eukaryota; Metazoa; Chordata; Mammalia; Artiodactyla; Camelidae
Also listed under: 2 other names
Rfam family: tRNA
About the family: Transfer RNA (tRNA) molecules are approximately 80 nucleotides in length. Their secondary structure includes four short double-helical elements and three loops (D, anti-codon, and T loops). Further hydrogen bonds mediate the characteristic L-shaped molecular structure. tRNAs have two regions of fundamental functional importance: the anti-codon, which is responsible for specific mRNA codon recognition, and the 3' end, to which the tRNAs corresponding amino acid is attached (by aminoacyl-tRNA synthetases). tRNAs cope with the degeneracy of the genetic code in two manners: having more than one tRNA (with a specific anti-codon) for a particular amino acid; and 'wobble' base-pairing, i.e. permitting non-standard base-pairing at the 3rd anti-codon position.
Source: Rfam by way of RNAcentral